Molecule: ribosomal RNA, 468 nt
Filed under: uncultured bacterium
Lineage: Bacteria
Description: partial 16S ribosomal RNA
Rfam family: Bacterial small subunit ribosomal RNA
Source: RNAcentral
GACGAACGCUGGCGGCGUGCUUAACACAUGCAAGUCGAACGGAAAGGCCCUGCUUUUGUGGGGUGCUCGAGUGGCGAACGGGUGAGUAACACGUGAGUAACCUGCCCUUGACUUUGGGAUAACUUCAGGAAACUGGGGCUAAUACCGGAUAGGAGCUCCUGCUGCAUGGUGGGGGUUGGAAAGUUUCGGCGGUUGGGGAUGGACUCGCGGCUUAUCAGCUUGUUGGUGGGGUAGUGGCUUACCAAGGCUUUGACGGGUAGCCGGCCUGAGAGGGUGACCGGCGACAUUGGGACUGAGAGACGGAGCAGACUCCUACGGGAGGCAGAAGUGGGGAAUCUUGCACAAUGGGCGGACGCCUGAUGCAGAAACGCCGCGUGCGGGAUGACGGCCUUCGGGUUGUAAACCGCUUUCGCCUGUGACGAAGCGUGCGUGACGGUAAUGGGUAAAGAAGCACCGGCUAACUACGUG